UUGUCCCAGUGUGCUUGUGGAAAUCUGUCCCUUUAAGUCUUGCAGGGCUGAACGGCUCCAGUCUUCCCGUAGCCAUUUUGCAAGUGCUGACUGUUGGGUGCCUGUUCUGGUUAGUCCCUGUCCUGCUUUUCCACAUGCCUCUCCUUCCACCUCUGCAGCUCACAAAAAGCCUCACCAGAGACAUGAACUCUCAUUUGCUUCCUUGGAGUGGGAUCCCAACCAGGGCAUUGUACAGCUAAUGGGACAUCUCUUCAAGUAGUGUCAUUAUUCCUGUCGUCAGCGGGGCUGCAUGACAAUCCACAGAAGACUCUGAGAACAGUCACCUGGUGUCCCCUGAUGUCAAUGGCGGAGGAUUUGUCCGUGACCCACAAACUUUCACUGUCACAAACGGAGUAUUCCCCCCGGUGGCCCCUGUGCUCUGCAUACCUCUUCCGCCGGGAGGUUCUGUUCACCACCACGGAAUUCCCGAUGUAAUCCUCCAUGAGGUACAGGGGCGGCGGCUCCAGCGGCGUGUUGUCACUCAGAAGGACUCGGGGAGAAUUGUAGCGUCUCUGCUGCCUCAAGAGAUCUAAAACUUGUUUUUUAAAAUGUCUGCCUGAAUGAGUUUAAUAAUAAGAGAAUUUAUCGAAUCUUCUGGCAAACUCCUUUGAUCCAUGUUGGAAGACUGGAUGCCACGAAGGUGAAAAUCUUUCUGCAAAAGAGAGGAGCUGACCUGCCUGAGAUGCACAGGAGGCCUGUGGCGUGACAGGGCUGGACUGGAAGAAGUCAAUGCAAGCAGAGGCCAGAGAAGCUUCUAGGUUUGGACCUGCUGGUUCCUGCAGCAGCACACUUCAUUGAGUAGUACCAAAACUGAAUUCUUUUGUGUGUUGUGAUUUGCAGUUAGGUUCUUUGGUUUCCUAAAAAAUCAAAUUGCAGCCAAAACUUCUGCAGCAGUUUGGAUGUUCUUAAAUUGUUAUGCUGUGUGGAUUGCCUUAUACUGAUAGUUCCAGGAUUCUCUCCUGUGGAAACCCAGGGCACCGGGAAUAUUUCUCUGUCUGCUCUGAGGUGCCAUGACCCCCAGGGGAGCACUAACU
Molecule: long non-coding RNA, 1073 nt
Organism: Zonotrichia albicollis (white-throated sparrow)
Lineage: Eukaryota; Metazoa; Chordata; Aves; Passeriformes; Passerellidae
Source: RefSeq, a predicted model, not a curated record